RNAcentral lists this long non-coding RNA (302 nucleotides) under Elaeis guineensis (African oil palm). Its description in RNAcentral is "long non-coding RNA (EGUI_LNC014090)". The record is from RNAcentral. Lineage: Eukaryota; Viridiplantae; Streptophyta; Magnoliopsida; Arecales; Arecaceae.
GUUUUAUGGUUUGCCUUGCCAUCUUGCUAACCUUGGUACAUCCCGAUGGUGAACCAAAUGAUAGAACAUUGUUGAUGCACAUAGUUACACCUAUGCUAUUUUGGAUUGAUUUGGCUCAAGCUCAUGGGUUGGGUAUAGGCUUGGCAAUGAGCCAGAUCGGAUGCGAGUUUGGGUCAAUCCGAGCCCGGCCCGAUAUCCGAUCUACCAUUCUGAUCCAAACCCGAUCCAUGAUCUGGUGGGUCAAUACUUUUUUUACCCAUACUCCGAUCGGGUAUCAGUUUAUCCGAUCAGGUAUCCAUCCC